CACGGAAGGUGCAAGCGUUGUUCGGAAUCACUGGGCUUAAAGCGCGUGUAGGCGGGAUGGUAGGUGCUGUGUGAAAUCCCUUGGCUCAACCAAGGAACUGCUUGGCAAACCCCCAUUCUUGAGGCAGGCAGAGGCGACUGGAACGUUCGGUGGAGCGGUGAAAUGCGUAGAGAUCGAACGGAACACCGGUGGCGAAAGCGGGUCGCUGGACCUGUCCUGACGCUGAGACGCGAAAGCGUGGGUAGCAAACAGG
RNAcentral lists this ribosomal RNA (253 nucleotides) under uncultured bacterium. RNAcentral describes it as "partial 16S ribosomal RNA". It matches the Rfam family "Bacterial small subunit ribosomal RNA", at positions 524 to 776 of the family's 1533-position model. The record is from RNAcentral.